UGGGUAACCUGCCCAAGAGAUCGGGAUAACACCUGGAAACAGAUGCUAAUACCGGAUAACAACAGAUGAUGCCUAUCAACUGUUUAAAAGAUGGUUCUGCUAUCACUCUUGGAUGGACCUGCGGUGCAUUAGCUAGUUGGUAGGGUAACGGCCUACCAAGGCGAUGAUUCAUAGCCGAGUUUAGAGACUGAUCGGCCACAUUGGGACUGAGACACGGCCCAAACUCCUACGGGAGGCAGCAGGC
This 244-nucleotide ribosomal RNA is filed under the name uncultured Lactobacillus sp. RNAcentral describes it as "partial 16S ribosomal RNA". It matches the Rfam family "Bacterial small subunit ribosomal RNA", at positions 118 to 354 of the family's 1533-position model. Lineage: Bacteria; Bacillati; Bacillota; Bacilli; Lactobacillales; Lactobacillaceae. The record is from RNAcentral.